Molecule: ribosomal RNA, 497 nt
Filed under: uncultured bacterium
Lineage: Bacteria
Description: partial 16S ribosomal RNA
Rfam family: Bacterial small subunit ribosomal RNA
Source: RNAcentral
GAUGAACGCUGGCGGCGUGCCUAAUACAUGCAAGUCGAACGCAUAGCGAAAGGUGCUUGCACCUUUCAAGUGAGUGGCGAACGGGGGAGUAACACGUGGACAACCUGCCUCAAGGCUGGGGAUAACAUUUGGAAACAGAUGCUAAUACCGAAUAAAACUUAGUGUCGCAUGACACAAAGUUAAAAGGCGCUUCGGCGUCACCUAGAGAUGGAUCCGCGGUGCAUUAGUUAGUUGGUGGGGUAAAGGCCUACCAAGACAAUGAUGCAUAGCCGAGUUGAGAGACUGAUCGGCCACAUUGGGACUGGGACACGGCCCAAACUCCUGCGGGAGGCUGCAGUAGGGAAUCUUCCACAGUGGGCGAAAGCCUGAUGGAGCAACGCCGCGUGUGUGAUGAAGGCUUUCGGGUCGUAAAGCACUGUUGUAUGGGAAGAACAGCUAGAAUAGGAAAUGAUUUUAGUUUGACGGUACCAUACCAGAAAGGGACGGCUAACUACGUG